GACUGGAGAGCCUAGUUGUUAAGGCAUCAUAUACAAGUCAUGUUUCUGCUCAUGUAAGGGUCCUUAGUUCGAAUCCGAGUCUAGUUA
Cronartium quercuum f. sp. fusiforme G11 is the source of this 87-nucleotide non-coding RNA. The record is from the annotation of a GenBank genome assembly. Lineage: Eukaryota; Fungi; Basidiomycota; Pucciniomycetes; Pucciniales; Coleosporiaceae.